This 176-nucleotide non-coding RNA is filed under the name Vibrio stylophorae. RNAcentral's name for it is "Lysine". It matches the Rfam family "Lysine riboswitch aptamer". Rfam says of the family: Riboswitches are metabolite binding domains within certain messenger RNAs that serve as precision sensors for their corresponding targets. Allosteric rearrangement of mRNA structure is mediated by ligand binding, and this results in modulation of gene expression. The record is from RNAcentral. Lineage: Bacteria; Pseudomonadati; Pseudomonadota; Gammaproteobacteria; Vibrionales; Vibrionaceae.
AAUCCAGGUAGAGGCGCACUGUCUAUCAGUAGGUUUGGCGAGGUUGACCACCGAUGACCCAAAUUGAAAGGAGCCCGUGCCGAAGUCUAUAAAGCGUCAUCUUUGUAGGCUGGGGUCGUUUUUAAUAGGAACGACACUGCCAUAGUCAACAUUCACUAUGGAGCGCUACUGUUGGG